GGCUCAGGAUGAACGCUAGCGACAGGCCUAACACAUGCNAGUCGAGGGGCAGCAUAAAGGUAGCAAUACUUUGGUGGCGACCGGCGCACGGGUGAGUAACACGUAUGCAACCUACCUGUAAGUGGGGGAUAACCCGUUGAAAGACGGACUAAUACCGCGUAAUACUGAUUUUACAUAAGUAGAAUCAGUUAAACAUUUAUGGUUUACAGAUGGGCAUGCGCAUGAUUAGCUAGUUGGAGAGGUAACGGCUCCCCAAGGCAACGAUCAUUAGGGGUUCUGAGAGGAAGGUCCCCCACACUGGUACUGAGACACGGACCAGACUCCUACGGGAGGCAGCAGUGAGGAAUAUUGGUCAAUGGGCGCGAGCCUGAACCAGCCAAGUCGCGUGCAGGAAGAAUGUCCUAUGGAUUGUAAACUGCUUUUGCAGGGGAAUAAAGUGAGUCACGUGUGACUUUUUGUAUGUACCUUGCGAAUAAGGAUCGGCUAACUCCGUGCCA
This 497-nucleotide ribosomal RNA is filed under the name uncultured bacterium. RNAcentral describes it as "bacterial SSU rRNA". It matches the Rfam family "Bacterial small subunit ribosomal RNA", at positions 21 to 510 of the family's 1533-position model. The record is from RNAcentral.